GAAAAAAGUGAUAGACUCUCAUAUCAGGAUGCAGCUCUGCUCCAGCCCUGCAUCUUUCUCUGUACACAGCUAACCCAGACCUCCAUGCGGGUCUCUUAUGUAUUGUUACUUGGAUAAUUUGUAUCUUUGUAGAUGAGUGUGUUCAUGGAAAUAGCAUAAAUAUCCCGUUAAAAGUUCUUCAGAGCGGGUCUAUUCAAGGUCCUCUUUGCGAUCAUUAUGCUCUCAAAUGAAACGGAUUCAAAACCUGUGCAGACACUGAAGACCCAAUGUGACUCUAGACCUUUCUCAACUGCUGUAAAGGAGUGACAGUUGGCUGUAAAGAAAUUCCAUACGUGACACAUCAGUCAGAGUUACUGGAUAUACUAAUUUAAUGAGAUGAGCUUUCAAUGAAUUAGAGUGUGUGUGUGUGUGUGUGUGUGUGUGCCCUUAAAGGUCUUGAUAUAUUUUUUAAAAGAAUAAAAGAUAAACUUUCAUUGUGACACAUUUAUGAAGUGUUUAUAUUAUUCUAUUUUAUUAUUUUACAAACACCUCUUGCAGGGA
This 540-nucleotide long non-coding RNA is filed under the name Homo sapiens (human). Its description in RNAcentral is "HSALNT0024722". The record is from RNAcentral. Lineage: Eukaryota; Metazoa; Chordata; Mammalia; Primates; Hominidae.